UCGAACGAUGAACCCGCUUCGGUGGGGGAUUAGUGGCGAACGGGUGAGUAACACGUGGGCAAUCUGCCCUGCACUCUGGGACAAGCCCUGGAAACGGGGUCUAAUACCGGAUAAUACUGCGGACCGCAUGGUCUGCGGUUGAAAGCUCCGGCGGUGCAGGAUGAGCCCGCGGCCUAUCAGCUUGUUGGUGGGGUGAUGGCCUACCAAGGCGACGACGGGUAGCCGGCCUGAGAGGGCGACCGGCCACACUGGGACUGAGACACGGCCCAGACUCCUACGGGAGGCAGCAGUGGGGAAUAUUGCACAAUGGGCGAAAGCCUGAUGCAGCGACGCCGCGUGAGGGAUGACGGCCUUCGGGUUGUAAACCUCUUUCAGCAGGGAAGAAGCGAAAGUGACGGUACCUGCAGAAGAAGCGCCGGCUAACUACGUGCCAGCAGCCGCGGUAAUACGUAGGGCGCAAGCGUUGUCCGGAAUUAUUGGGCGUAAAGAGCUCGUAGGCGGCUUGUCGCGUCGGAUGUGAAAGCCCGGGGCUUAACCCCCGGUCUGCAUUCGAUACCGGCAGGCUAGAGUGUGGUAAGGGAGAUCGGAAUUCCUGGUGUAGCGGUGAAAUGCGCAGAUAUCAGGAGGAACACCCGUGGCGAAAGCGGAUCUCUGGGCCAUUACUGACGCUGAGGAGCGAAAGCGUGGGGAGCGAACAGGAUU
Molecule: ribosomal RNA, 702 nt
Filed under: Streptomyces sp.
Lineage: Bacteria; Bacillati; Actinomycetota; Actinomycetes; Kitasatosporales; Streptomycetaceae
Description: bacterial SSU rRNA
Rfam family: Bacterial small subunit ribosomal RNA
Source: RNAcentral